CAUCUCCGUCUUCCACUGUUUCUAAAGAUUGAUUAAGAUAUUCUUCAAAAUCAUCACGGUUAGUAGAAUUAAGACCAAGAAAACCUCGCAUAUAACUUGAAAUUCGAGCUUUACUCUGAGGAUUAGAAGUUUGACCAACUUCUCCUUGAGUAUUUCCUGUAGUUCUAUAUUUUUCAUACAAAAUUUUUGCUUCUACUUUUAUGGUAGACUUACACAU
RNAcentral lists this long non-coding RNA (217 nucleotides) under Solanum tuberosum (potato). RNAcentral describes it as "long non-coding RNA (STUB_LNC000311)". Lineage: Eukaryota; Viridiplantae; Streptophyta; Magnoliopsida; Solanales; Solanaceae. The record is from RNAcentral.